Molecule: ribosomal RNA, 496 nt
Filed under: uncultured bacterium
Lineage: Bacteria
Description: partial 16S ribosomal RNA
Rfam family: Bacterial small subunit ribosomal RNA
Source: RNAcentral
AUGAACGCUGGCGGCGUGCCUAAUACAUGCAAGUCGAGCGAACAGACGAGGAGCUUGCUCCUCUGACGUUAGCGGCGGACGGGUGAGUAACACGUGGAUAACCUACCUAUAAGACUGGGAUAACUUCGGGAAACCGGAGCUAAUACCGGAUAAUAUAUUGAACCGCAUGGUUCAAUAGUGGAAGACGGUUUUGCUGUCACUUAUAGAUGGAUCCGCGCCGCAUUAGCUAGUUGGUAAGGUAACGGCUUACCAAGGCAACGAUGCGUAGCCGACCUGAGAGGGUGAUCGGCCACACUGGAACUGAGACACGGUCCAGACUCCUACGGGAGGCAGCAGUAGGGAAUCUUCCGCAAUGGGCGAAAGCCUGACGGAGCAACGCCGCGUGAGUGAUGAAGGUCUUCGGAUCGUAAAACUCUGUUAUUAGGGAAGAACAAAUGUGUAAGUAACUAUGCACGUCUUGACGGUACCUAAUCAGAAAGCCGCGGCUAACUACGUG